GACCUGCACCAAGGCCGCCAGCGCGAAGAAGGCGGCCAUGAGUCCGUUGCAGGCCCGCCACAGCGCUGGCGCCAUGGCUCGGAGAACACGGCGCGGGGCGCACCUGACAUACCUGGAUAUAAACAAUAUCCAAGGCCCCUAAGGUAAAAGCCUUGCUCCAAGUCCCCUUCUGACUUCUAGUCACUUCCGUGCUGCCAGCAGAGGGCGUGGGAUUCUUCCUGAGGAGCCUGAGUCUCAGCUUUGCCAGGUCCUUGCUGUGUGACCUUGGACGAAGAAGAGGCACUAGGUGCAUGCCUACACAGAGGAAAGCCAUGUGAGGACACAGCGAUAAGAUUGCUGACUGCAAGCUCAGGAGAACUUAGAAGAAACCAACCCUACCAGCACCUUGAUCUUGGACUUCCAGCCUCCAGAACUGUGAGAAAGAAAGAGACAAAGGAGAUAGAAGAAGUGGAAUAAGGGGAAAGAUAAGAACUGGAAAGCUGAACCAUAGCCCAGACCCAAGCAGGAGAAAGAGCAAGAAAUGCCUAUGAGAAAGCCGGAAAGAAACCCCUGGAAUUUGGAAGAAAAUGUCUAAAAGGGAAUGGCAAGGAACCUGAGGAACCAGCGUGAGGAAAACCUGGAUGAUCUGACGUCUUCCUCACUUUAUCCCUACCUGUCCACGCCUCCAUCCAUCCACCCAUCCAUCACUGAUCAAGCUCUCACUAUGUCUAUAGUGUAGAAGGUGCCACCAAAUGCAAUGGAACCUCUUGUCUCAUGUGUCUACUUGCAUCUUUAAGUUGAUACACGGAAGGCACAGUCCAAGCACAGGAUACUGGAAGCUAUGGAGGUACAGUGGCCUCUGAGCAAACUGAAAACUCUCUAUCACUAAAGGGUUGGGCAUACAGGGUAUCUCCUCUGCUCUGCCACCUACCUUGAGGAUGCUUUACAUGUGGCUAAAAGUGGAGGCAGAGAUAUUUGGAUAAAUAAAUGCUAGAGAAUUGGAAAUUCCUAGGACAAGUCAA
RNAcentral lists this long non-coding RNA (1001 nucleotides) under Homo sapiens (human). RNAcentral describes it as "TMEM220 antisense RNA 1". Lineage: Eukaryota; Metazoa; Chordata; Mammalia; Primates; Hominidae. The record is from RNAcentral.